Molecule: long non-coding RNA, 270 nt
Filed under: Ananas comosus (pineapple)
Lineage: Eukaryota; Viridiplantae; Streptophyta; Magnoliopsida; Poales; Bromeliaceae
Description: long non-coding RNA (ACOM_LNC020563)
Source: RNAcentral
AAUUUAGUUAAUUUUGUUUGGAAAAAUGAUACAAGAGCUAGACUAGAGCUUAAAUAAGCUAGCAUCCUGCCCCGAGUCAUAUUUGAAAUGGCGUGAGGCUAGGUUGGGUCAAAUCAUAUAUGUUCGAAAUGACGUAAAGCUGGUUCACAAUUGAAACCCAUAGGUGUUAUGUUUGUACACUUUAACUGAAUUUGUUGCAUAUUUCUAACCGUUCGAACUUUUAGAUUCAUGCUUAGCCCCAACGAUCCAACAUAGAGCUGGCCAUAGACU